AGCUUUGCACAGUGGCAGUAUUGUAGCCAAUGAGGUUUAUCCAAGACGCGAUUAUUGCUAAUUGAAAACUUUUCCCAAUACCCCGCCAUGACGACUUGAAAUAUAGUCAGCAUUGGCAAUUUUUGACAGUCUCUAUGGAGA
Molecule: small nuclear RNA, 141 nt
Organism: Otolemur garnettii (small-eared galago)
Lineage: Eukaryota; Metazoa; Chordata; Mammalia; Primates; Galagidae
Gene: U4
Rfam family: U4 spliceosomal RNA
About the family: U4 small nuclear RNA (U4 snRNA) is a component of the major U2-dependent spliceosome. The structure of U4 snRNA from yeast and human has been reported. U4 snRNA presents a k-turn RNA motif in the 5p-SL related to recognition of Snu13 protein.
Source: Ensembl